RNAcentral lists this long non-coding RNA (476 nucleotides) under Gossypium barbadense (sea-island cotton). RNAcentral describes it as "long non-coding RNA (GBAR_LNC018894)". Lineage: Eukaryota; Viridiplantae; Streptophyta; Magnoliopsida; Malvales; Malvaceae. The record is from RNAcentral.
UAACGCCCUGAAUAAUUUAUUUUUGUUUCUGUAAAUAUCUAACAUAAAUAUGUAUUUGUUUCAGUGGUUAAAUGUUUUGAGUGUGUGUAUGAAGUCUUAAGUUCAAGUCUCAUAUUUGUAAAUUUUUUUAUUUUUCUAAUCCUAGCCUUAUCCUUGGUGGGUUGGGUUAUAUUUAUCUUUAUAAACUCAUAUUAAAAUGAGCUUGCUGGUUUGAGUGGUAAGAAGUUAGUGUGUAGGACGUCUUAUGUUUGAAUCAUUGUGAGAGCGAGGUGCUAUAUUUUUUGUUUCGGUUGGCUGAGAGAAUUUGAGUGGUCUUGAAAGUCUGAGUUGGUUUGGGUUGUUAGUGGAUGUAAUGGGAUUGUAAUCAAAGUGGUUUUUAUUUUAUUUUUAUUUUUUUUCAAAAUUCCUCUCUCUUUUCAGGAAAAACUGACGUCAAUUUUGUUUUGCCUUUAUCUUCUCUUUCGUUCUUCUUUUCU